AUUGAACGCUGGCGGCAUGCUUUACACAUGCAAGUCGAACGGUAACAGGUUAAGCUGACGAGUGGCGAACGGGUGAGUAAUGCAUCGGAACGUGCCCGGUCGUGGGGGAUAACGCAGCGAAAGCUGCGCUAAUACCGCAUACGAUCUGAGGAUGAAAGCGGGGGACCGGAAGGCCUCGCGCGAUCGGAGCGGCCGAUGUCAGUUUAGGUAGUUGGUGGGGGAAAGGCUCACCAAGCCAACGAUCUGUAGCUGGGCUGAGAGGACGACCAGCCACACUGGGACUGAUACACGGCCCAGACUCCUACGGGAGGCAGCAGUGGGGAAUUUUGGACAAUGGGCGAAAGCCUGAUCCAGCAAUGCCGCGUGCAGGAAGAAGGCCUUCGGGUUGUAAACUGCUUUUGUACGGAGCGAAAAGGUCUCCUCUAAUACAGGGGGCUCAUGACGGUACCGUAAGAAUAAGCACCGGCUAACUACGUGCCAGCCGCCGCCGUAA
RNAcentral lists this ribosomal RNA (493 nucleotides) under uncultured bacterium. Its description in RNAcentral is "partial 16S ribosomal RNA". It matches the Rfam family "Bacterial small subunit ribosomal RNA", at positions 29 to 523 of the family's 1533-position model. The record is from RNAcentral.